AACUUGGGUUCCUGCGGAAGGCAAGGCGGCCACUCGUCCCCUGGCUGCGGCUGCGGGGCCCAGGCCUUGGCGCGCAGGGAGUGGGAAGGAGAAAAGGACGAGAAGGGGCAAGCACCAGCCGCACCAGCAAAGGGGGCGAGGGUGGCGCGCGCAAGAUGAGGGGAGCUGAAGCCCUGCAUCCCGAAGGAGGCUGCGCCCACCGCCCGCAACUCCACUCCAGGCUCGCCAGCCGGAAGAAAGAGGAGGAAGUGGGACAACGGGGGUCCUGGGCAGGGGUAGGGGAAACGAUCAACUCCCACUGCCCCCACCCACUAGUCGAGUUGGAAUGCAAGUCGUCACUUAAAAAGGCUCACCCAAACCGCAGGCAUACCUCCUCACCCCUUAAAGAAACAUUGAUGUAAUAGUGUGGAGAAGUAACUGAGAGACGCGAGGAAAUAAAUGCACGUGUUUUCUCUUUUUGUUUC
Long non-coding RNA from Homo sapiens (human), 464 nucleotides. NCBI's taxonomy places the organism in Eukaryota, Metazoa, Chordata, Mammalia, Primates, Hominidae. The record is from Ensembl.